This 532-nucleotide ribosomal RNA is filed under the name Abortiporus biennis. Its description in RNAcentral is "SSU rRNA". It matches the Rfam family "Bacterial small subunit ribosomal RNA", at positions 368 to 916 of the family's 1533-position model. Lineage: Eukaryota; Fungi; Basidiomycota; Agaricomycetes; Polyporales; Podoscyphaceae. The record is from RNAcentral.
UCAAUGNUCUCACGAGUGAACUAGCUAACUGAAAUCAUUUGUGUGUCACAAGUGAUAACGUAAAGGAAAAUAAUGAUAUUACUUUACUAUUAGUGUCGUCCAAAACUGGUGCCAGAAGACUCGGUAAGGCCAGAGACGCAAACGUUAAUCAUCUUUAUCAGGCGUAAAGGGUUUGUAGGCUGCUUUCAAAGUUUUCAAAUUUAAAAUAGUUCUCUUUAGAUUUUUCUUUAGAGAUAAGUUUGGAGAUAAAUAAAAGCUAGAAUCAAAUAGAGGUCGCAUAUAUAAUGCUUAGAGUAGGUCUGAUAUCUGUAAAUCCUAAGUAGAAUACUAAAGGCGAAGGCUUUCUUCCACUACUGAUUGACGCUGAGAAACGAAGGUUAGGAUAGGAAAUAGGAUUAGAUACCCUAGUACCCCUCUCUGUCAACGAUGAAUGGUAGUUAUUAGUCAUUGAAAUACUAGUAGCGAUGUUAACGCGAUAACCAUUCCGCCUUGUGAGUACAAUUGCAAAAUUGAAAACAAAAAAAUUAGUCCG